This 253-nucleotide ribosomal RNA is filed under the name bacterium. RNAcentral describes it as "partial 16S ribosomal RNA". It matches the Rfam family "Bacterial small subunit ribosomal RNA", at positions 524 to 776 of the family's 1533-position model. RNAcentral also lists the same sequence under 1 other name. The record is from RNAcentral.
UACGGAGGAUCCAAGCGUUAUCCGGAUUCAUUGGGUUUAAAGGGUGCGUAGGCGGGAUAGUAAGUCAGUGGUGAAAGCCUGUUGCUUAACAACAGAACUGCCAUUGAUACUGCUAACCUUGAGUAUACUUGAAGUGGGCGGAAUGUGUCAUGUAGCGGUGAAAUGCAUAGAUAUGACACAGAACACCGAUUGCGAAGGCAGCUCACUAAAUUAUAACUGACGCUGAGGCACGAAAGCGUGGGGAUCAAACAGG